UUGUUCCUACGGGACGCAGCAGUGGGGAAUAUUGCACAAUGGGGGAAACCCUGAUGCAGCGACGCCGCGUGAGCGAAGAAGUAUUUCGGUAUGUAAAGCUCUAUCAGCAGGGAAGAAAAAUGACGGUACCUGAGUAAGAAGCACCGGCUAAAUACGUGCCAGCAGCCGCGGUAAUACGUAUGGUGCAAGCGUUAUCCGGAUUUACUGGGUGUAAAGGGAGCGCAGGCGGUGCGGCAAGUCUGAUGUGAAAGCCCGGGGGUCAACUCCGAGACUGCAUUGGAAA
This 283-nucleotide ribosomal RNA is filed under the name uncultured bacterium. RNAcentral's name for it is "partial 16S ribosomal RNA". It matches the Rfam family "Bacterial small subunit ribosomal RNA", at positions 333 to 632 of the family's 1533-position model. The record is from RNAcentral.